UUGUUUGUGGAGACAUGACUGGUUUCAAGGAAUAAUGGAAACCUCUUGGGUAGCUUACACUCAGGCAACACCUUUCGCUGAGCUAUCUCCAGGUCCUGUCCAGGUUGCAAGUGUGGACUGUGUGUUAUCUGACAGUGCAGACUCCAAGUCUGUUGCCAGGGUAACCAGACGACGAAAGCUGUGGGGUGGAAUAAAAUGUUUUAUUUAUCUUGUUUUCUGUUAAAGCUAGCAGAACAGCCCCAAGGGGUGUGCUGGGUCACCAAUGGUGACUAUUUAAGGAUGAAUGGAUGGCUGGAUAUAUAAAGUCAUUGUUAGCCCACAGGAAAACCACAGCUAAGAUGUCAUUCUUAGGCAGGUGUGGCCACUCAAACCAGUAAUCCCCGGACUCUUACGGAGCUGAAGCAGAAAGAUCAUAAUUUCAAGCCUAGCCUGGGUUAUGGAAUGAAAGCCUUAAAAACAAUAAUAAAAUCCACAAAAUAAUUCCCUUCCCCAAACUCUCCAUCACAGAUGAGACUACUACAGCUCCCCUCAAAGGAACACGCAAGAGAGCAAAACUAGCCGCAAGUGCGAGAAAUUGCUGUUAUUAAGUAGUGCAUGAUUAUUCGAGUACAAUGAAGAGACGUGACAUCAUUCCUCACAAAGCGUCUACUCUACUCUUAAAAAAAUAAAACAGAAAGCCAGGCUGGAGACUUACACCUAUCAUCUCAGCAUUGCAAUUAUAUUUUGAGUGCUGGGCCUUCCUGGACUUCAGCAUGAGAUCCCGUUUCAAAAAUUUCAAAUACAAGGGUUGGAGAGACAGCUUAGCAGUUAAGAGCAGAGCACAGGCUGCUCUUGAAGAGGACCUGAGUUCAAGUCCCAGCAUCCAGUGGCUCACAAAGACCUAUAACUCGGGGCUGGCGAGAUGGCUCAGUGGUUAAGAGCACUGACUGCUCUUCCGAAGGUCCCAAGUUCAAAUCCCAGCAACCACAUGGUGGCUCACAACCAUCCAUAACGAAAUCUGAUGCCCUCUUCUGGAGUAUCUGAGGACAGCUACAGUGUACUUAAACCUAUCAUCUUAAAAGACCUAUAACUCCAGCCCCCCAGAGGGGCCACACCCUCUCCUGGCCUUCAGCCACGCCCUCUCCUGGCCUUCAGAAUAUUGUGCUCACAUUCACAUACCCACACAGAGAUACCCGCACAUAAUUAAAACACAAACAUUUCUUAAAAUAUAAAUACAUAGUGCGCAUAUAUAAUUAAGAAUAAAACAUUUACAUACUUAGCAGAGGAAAUUAAAAAUUGGUUAAAUUAAAUUACAUCAGCAUACCCCAUUGCUGCCACCAAUGAACUCAGAGCUACAGGCACCUAUGGCCAUCUACCAAACUCUCACUUUUCUAAUAUAUAUAUCGUUUUGUGUUUUAUUGGGACACUUACAUUUAUUAUAUAGUAGUCAUCGAAUCUGCUAUAAAAUAUCCAUCAACAGGUUUGGUGGUAGAAUUAUUCUUCUUUCUUUUUUUCCUUUAUAUUCCUCUGCAAACUUUCUUUAACAAACACAGAAGAUUCUUUC
RNAcentral lists this long non-coding RNA (1543 nucleotides) under Mus musculus (house mouse). RNAcentral describes it as "long non-coding RNA chr10:69328718-69330261". The record is from RNAcentral. Lineage: Eukaryota; Metazoa; Chordata; Mammalia; Rodentia; Muridae.